AACCUUCAAAUUUUGAAUCUAUUUCUUCUUUUUCGUGUGUUUAGUAUUCAUUCAUAUAUAAUAUUCGAUUAGUUAAAAUUUUGACUUUGCCACCCCAACUGAUAUUAUUAGUAGGGACCAAACUACAAGUGAUCAUAACAAAAAUGGGAUUAAGAAUUCAAGAAAGGGGAGAAGUAGUGAAAGGUGUCGCUGUGCUUCAGCCUGGAGAUGAUUUAUUUUGGUUCAAUCGUCCUCGUUUCUUCUUUACCUAAUUAAUUUUGUGCUUCUUCAGAAUGCUUUGCAAUUGGCUUUCUUUUCUUGGACUUGGUACGAAUUUUGGGCUGAAAUCUUGUUUCGGGGACAAAACUGAGCACAUCGUCAUUAGAAUGACAACGGGGUAUGUGUUAAUUAUCUUCUAAUUAAUUAAAACUCUUUUAUCUUUAAUUAUAGUUUGGAUUUCUUGUUAAACUUUUUCAUAAUUUGAUUGAAAUUACUUACAUAUGAAAAUGUUUGUUUAAUUUUGGAGCAGGGUUCUUAUUCAAAUUCUU
Capsicum annuum is the source of this 527-nucleotide long non-coding RNA. RefSeq lists it as uncharacterized. The transcript has 3 exons. The record is from RefSeq and is a predicted model, not a curated record. NCBI's taxonomy places the organism in Eukaryota, Viridiplantae, Streptophyta, Magnoliopsida, Solanales, Solanaceae.